AUUGAACGCUGGCGGCAUGCUUUACACAUGCAAGUCGAACGGUAACAGGCCGCUAGGUGCUGACGAGUGGCGUACGGGUGCGUAAUGCAUCGGAACGUGCCCAGUCGUUGGGGAUAACUACUCGAAAGAGUAGCUAAUACCGCAUACGAUCUAUGGAUGAAAGCGGGGGACCGUAAUGCCUCGCUCGUUUGUUGCUUUCUAUGUUAGAUUAGGUAGUUGGUUGGGUAAAUGCUCACCAAGCCAACGAUCUGUAGCUGGUCUGAGAGGACAACCAGCCACACUGGGACUGAGACACGGCCCAGACUCCUACGGGAGGCAGCAGUGGGGAAUAUUGGAAAAUGGGAGAAAGCAUGAACCAGCAAAGCCGCGUGCAGGAAGAAGGCCUUCGGGUUGUAAACUGCUUUUGUACGGAACGAAAAGGCACUGGUUAAUACACGGGGCUAAUGACGGUAACGUAAGAAUAAGCACCGGCUAACUACGUG
Molecule: ribosomal RNA, 482 nt
Filed under: uncultured bacterium
Lineage: Bacteria
Description: partial 16S ribosomal RNA
Rfam family: Bacterial small subunit ribosomal RNA
Source: RNAcentral